This is a small nucleolar RNA of Arvicola amphibius (Eurasian water vole), 129 nucleotides long. RefSeq annotates it as small nucleolar RNA SNORA61. The transcript has a single exon. NCBI's taxonomy places the organism in Eukaryota, Metazoa, Chordata, Mammalia, Rodentia, Cricetidae. The record is from RefSeq and is a predicted model, not a curated record.
ACCCUCCGGAUCCUUCUCCCAUCGAUCUAGUUGCUGGUCUUGGUAAUUGCAAAGCAGGAAGAUUACACUGAAGCUGUCCUCACUGAGAUGUGAUUUGGUAGAGAGCAUGUGGGUCAGGUUCAAGCAGGC